This 587-nucleotide ribosomal RNA is filed under the name uncultured bacterium. RNAcentral's name for it is "partial 16S ribosomal RNA". It matches the Rfam family "Bacterial small subunit ribosomal RNA", at positions 355 to 1375 of the family's 1533-position model. The record is from RNAcentral.
UGGGGAAUUUUGGACAAUGGGCGAAAGCCUGAUCCAGCAAUGCCGCGUGUGUGAAGAAGGCCUUCGGGUUGUAAAGCACUUUUGUCCGGAAAGAAAUCCUCUGGGUUAAUACCUCGGGAGAAUGACGGUACCGGAAGAAUAAGCACCGGCUAACUACGUGCCAGCAGCCGCGGUAAUACGUAGGGUGCAAGCGUUAAUCGGAAUUACUGGGCGUAAAGCGUGCGCAGGCGGUUUUGUAAGACGGAUGUGAAAUCCCCGGGGCUUAACCUGGGAACUGCAUUCGUGACUGCAAGGCUAGAGUAUGGCAGAGGGGGGUAGAAUUCCACGUGUAGCAGUGAAAUGCGUAGAGAUGUGGAGGAAUACCGAUGGCGAAGGCAGCCCCCUGGGCCAAUACUGACGCUCAUGCACGAAAGCGUGGGGAGCAAACAGGAUUAGAUACCCUGGUAGUCCACGCCCUAAACGAUGUCAACUAGUUGUUGGGGAUUCAUUUCCUUAGUAACGUAGCUAACGCGUGAAGUUGACCGCCUGGGGGAGUACGGUCGCAAGAUUAAAACUUAAAGGAAUUGACGGGGUCAUAGCUGUUUCCU